This 412-nucleotide ribosomal RNA is filed under the name uncultured microorganism. Its description in RNAcentral is "bacterial SSU rRNA". It matches the Rfam family "Bacterial small subunit ribosomal RNA", at positions 9 to 420 of the family's 1533-position model. The record is from RNAcentral.
GAGUUUGAUCGUGGCUCAGAUUGAACGCUGGCGGCAUGCCUUACACAUGCAAGUCGAACGGCAGCAUGAUCUAGCUUGCUAGAUUGAUGGCGAGUGGCGAACGGGUGAGUAAUACAUCGGAACGUGCCCUGUAGUGGGGGAUAACUAGUCGAAAGAUUAGCUAAUACCGCAUACGACCUGAGGGUGAAAGUGGGGGACCGCAAGGCCUCAUGCUAUAGGAGCGGCCGAUGUCUGAUUAGCUAGUUGGUGGGGUAAAGGCCCACCAAGGCGACGAUCAGUAGCUGGUCUGAGAGGACGAUCAGCCACACUGGGACUGAGACACGGCCCAGACUCCUACGGGAGGCAGCAGUGGGAUUUGGACAAUGGGCGAAAGCCUGAUCCAGCAAUGCCGCGUGUGUGAAGAAGGCCUCGG